This 1383-nucleotide ribosomal RNA is filed under the name uncultured bacterium. RNAcentral describes it as "bacterial SSU rRNA". It matches the Rfam family "Bacterial small subunit ribosomal RNA", at positions 18 to 1394 of the family's 1533-position model. The record is from RNAcentral.
CCUGGCUCAGGAUGAACGCUAGCUACAGGCUUAACACAUGCAAGUCGAGGGGCAGCAUGGUCUUAGCUUGCUAAGGCCGAUGGCGACCGGCGCACGGGUGAGUAACGCGUAUCCAACCUGCCUUACACUCUUGGACAGCCUUCUGAAAGGGAGAUUAAUACAAGAUGUUAUCAUGAGUAAGCAUUUUCGCAUGAUUAAAGGUUUACCGGUGUAAGAUGGGGAUGCGUUCCAUUAGAUAGUAGGCGGGGUAACGGCCCACCUAGUCUUCGAUGGAUAGGGGUUCUGAGAGGAAGGUCCCCCACAUUGGAACUGAGACACGGUCCAAACUCCUACGGGAGGCAGCAGUGAGGAAUAUUGGUCAAUGGACGAGAGUCUGAACCAGCCAAGUAGCGUGAAGGAUGAAGGUUCUAUGGAUUGUAAACUUCUUUUAUACGGGAAUAAACGAAUCCACGUGUGGAUUUUUGCAUGUACCGUAUGAAUAAGGAUCGGCUAACUCCGUGCCAGCAGCCGCGGUAAUACGGAGGAUCCGAGCGUUAUCCGGAUUUAUUGGGUUUAAAGGGAGCGUAGAUGGGUUGUUAAGUCAGUUGUGAAAGUUUGCGGCUCAACCGUAAAAUUGCAAUUGAUACUGGCAGUCUUGAGUACAGUUGAGGUAUGCGGAAUUCGUGGUGUAGCGGUGAAAUGCUUAGAUAUCACGAAGAACUCCGAUUGCGAAGGCAGCUUACUAACCUGUAACUGACAUUGAUGCUCGAAAGUGUGGGUAUCAAACAGGAUUAGAUACCCUGGUAGUCCACACGGUAAACGAUGAAUACUCGCUGUAGGCGAUAUACAGUCUGCGGCCAAGCGAAAGCAUUAAGUAUUCCACCUGGGGAGUACGCCGGCAACGGUGAAACUCAAAGGAAUUGACGGGGGCCCGCACAAGCGGAGGAACAUGUGGUUUAAUUCGAUGAUACGCGAGGAACCUUACCCGGGCUUAAAUUGCAACCGAAUAUGGCGGAAACGCUAUAGCUAGCAAUAGCGGUUGUGAAGGUGCUGCAUGGUUGUCGUCAGCUCGUGCCGUGAGGUGUCGGCUUAAGUGCCAUAACGAGCGCAACCCUUGCCGAUAGUUACUAACAGGUUAUGCUGAGGACUCUGUCGGGACUGCCAUCGUAAGAUGUGAGGAAGGUGGGGAUGACGUCAAAUCAGCACGGCCCUUACGUCCGGGGCUACACACGUGUUACAAUGGGGGGUACAGAGGGCUGCUACCACGCAAGUGGAUGCCAAUCCCAAAAACCUCUCUCAGUUCGGAUUGAAGUCUGCAACCCGACUUCAUGAAGCUGGAUUCGCUAGUAAUCGCGCAUCAGCCACGGCGCGGUGAAUACGUUCCCGGGCCUUGUACACACCGCC